Molecule: transfer RNA, 75 nt
Filed under: Chloroflexota bacterium
Lineage: Bacteria; Bacillati; Chloroflexota
Also listed under: 4 other names
Description: Chloroflexi bacterium tRNA-Met
Rfam family: tRNA
About the family: Transfer RNA (tRNA) molecules are approximately 80 nucleotides in length. Their secondary structure includes four short double-helical elements and three loops (D, anti-codon, and T loops).
Source: RNAcentral
GGCGGAGUAGCUCAGUGGUAGAGCAGGGGACUCAUAAGCCCUUGGCCGGUGGUUCGAAUCCGCCCUCCGCUACCA